Molecule: ribosomal RNA, 507 nt
Filed under: uncultured bacterium
Lineage: Bacteria
Description: partial 16S ribosomal RNA
Source: RNAcentral
GGAGUUAGCCGGUGCUUCUUCUGUGAGUGAUGUCCUUCCUGCCGGCUAUUAACCCGCAGGCCUUCUUCCUCACUGAAAGUGCUUUACAACCCGAAGGCCUUCUUCACACACGCGGCAUGGCUGGAUCAGGGUUGCCCCCAUUGUCCAAUAUUCCCCACUGCUGCCUCCCGUAGGAGUCUGGGCCGUGUCUCAGUCCCAGUGUGGCUGAUCAUCCUCUCAGACCAGCUACGGAUCGUCGCCUUGGUGAGCCGUUACCUCACCAACCAGCUAAUCCGACAUAGGCUCAUCCGAUAGCGCGAGGCCCGAAGGUCCCCCGCUUUCCCCCGUAGGGCGUAUGCGGUAUUAGCCUGGGUUUCCCCAGGUUAUCCCCCACUACCGGGCAGAUUCCUAUGCAUUACUCACCCGUCCGCCGCUCGCCACCAGGGAGCAAGCUCCCCGUGCUGCCGCUCGACUUGCAUGUGUUAGACCUGCCGCCAGCGUUCAAUCUGAGCCAGGAUCAAACUCUGA